CUUAACGCAGUCAAUCUCAUAGUAUGACUACAGCGUACCAUGUUCAUUUUACAAAACAGCCAGAUUAAACUGAAACACUUUUGCAGCUCUCUUUGACAUGCGCACUAGUAGACGGGCUGUUAUUAUCGAGUAUUUGUGUAAUGAUAACAUUGAGAGUUGAUUUUCAUUUACGUACCCUCGUCCAUACAACCUGUCCCUAUCUAUAGCGUUACACACAGGCAUCCGGGGCCCCUGACAACCCUUAUCACUGUGCUAAACUCACUCACUAAUUUCUGGCUACCCGUAUAAUAAAAGACAACGUUAAUUUAAUUUUCAUAAUUCAUGCGAACAAAGAGGACAUUCUGUGUGGCUAUGAGGUAAAUCCGCAGCGUUUAAUUUAAAGUGCCGUGUGACAGGUACGGAGCCAGGUAAACACAUAGACUGUUGUUACCUAUACGGGCGUGAGUACAGGUGAGGUCUAAUUUAGCAAUGCAUAUGGGUACAACAGCAGAUCUGGGCGUUGGUGACGAAAACUCCCAGUAACAUAAACGGCAAAUAAUGAAAACGUAACCAAGCAAGGACGUCAGGACAAGAUGGGGUCCGGGAAGUCCAAGGUCAAGGCCAAGGCCAGGCCAGCCACGCCGGACUACAAACAAGUCCCGUCCAUCCUAAGUGAGUACCCUCUUCCAAAGGUCCCUGAAUCCCACAGGAGGGAUAUUGUCAAACCAGAACGCCUCAAGAGAGUCUCCCGGACU
Molecule: long non-coding RNA, 734 nt
Organism: Mizuhopecten yessoensis (Yesso scallop)
Lineage: Eukaryota; Metazoa; Mollusca; Bivalvia; Pectinida; Pectinidae
Exons: 3
Source: RefSeq, a predicted model, not a curated record